UGGGGAAUUGUUCGCAAUGGGCGAAAGCCUGACGACGCAACGCCGCGUGGAGGAUGAAGAUCUUCGGGUCGUAAACUCCUUUCGAUCGAGACGAAUGCCUUGGGGGUGAACACUCCCCAAGGGUGACGGUACCGAGCGAAGAAGCCCCGGCUAACUCCGCGCCAGCAGCCGCGGUAAUACGGGGGGGGCAAGCGUUGUUCGGAAUUACUGGGCGUAAAGGGUGCGUAGGCGGUGCUCUAAGUUUGGUGUGAAAUCUCCCGGCUCAACUGGGAGGGUGCGCCGAAAACUGGAGUGCUUGAGUGCGGGAGAGGAAAGCGGAAUUCCUGGUGUAGCGGUGAAAUGCGUAGAGAUCAGGAGGAACACCUGCGGUGUAGACGGCUUUCUGGACCGUAACUGACGCUGAGGCACGAAAGCGUGGGGAGCAA
This 425-nucleotide ribosomal RNA is filed under the name uncultured bacterium. RNAcentral describes it as "bacterial SSU rRNA". It matches the Rfam family "Bacterial small subunit ribosomal RNA", at positions 355 to 771 of the family's 1533-position model. The record is from RNAcentral.